This 411-nucleotide ribosomal RNA is filed under the name Methylobacterium sp. RNAcentral describes it as "bacterial SSU rRNA". It matches the Rfam family "Bacterial small subunit ribosomal RNA", at positions 22 to 477 of the family's 1533-position model. Lineage: Bacteria; Pseudomonadati; Pseudomonadota; Alphaproteobacteria; Hyphomicrobiales; Methylobacteriaceae. The record is from RNAcentral.
GCUCAGAGCGAACGCUGGCGGCAGGCUUAACACAUGCAAGUCGAACGCUCAUCUUCGGAUGGGAGUGGCAGACGGGUGAGUAACACGUGGGAACGUACCCUUCGGUUCGGAACAACUCUGGGAAACUGGAGCUAAUACCGGAUACGCCCUUUUGGGGAAAGGUUUACUGCCGAAGGAUCGGCCCGCGUCUGAUUAGCUAGUUGGUGGGGUAACGGCCUACCAAGGCGACGAUCAGUAGCUGGUCUGAGAGGAUGAUCAGCCACAUUGGGACUGAGACACGGCCCAAACUCCUACGGGAGGCAGCAGUGGGGAAUAUUGGACAAUGGGCGCAAGCCUGAUCCAGCCAUGCCGCGUGAGUGAUGAAGGCCUUAGGGUUGUAAAGCUCUUUUGUCCGGGACGAUAAUGACGGUA